GAUGAACGCUGGCGGCGUGCCUAAUACAUGCAAGUCGAGCGAACGGACGAGAAGCUUGCUUCUCUGAUGUUAGCGGCGGACGGGUGAGUAACACGUGGAUAACCUACCUAUAAGACUGGGAUAACUUCGGGAAACCGGAGCUAAUACCGGAUGAUAUUUUGAACCGCAUGGUUCAAAAGUGAAAGACGGUCUUGCUGUCGCUUAUAGAUGGAUCCGCGCUGCAUUAGCUAGUUGGUAAGGUAACGGCUUACCAAGGCAACGAUGCAUAGCCGAACUGAGAGAGUGAUCGGCCACACUGGAGCUGGGACACGGUCCAGACUCCUACGGGAGGCAGCAGUAGGGAAUCGUACGCAAUAGGCGAAAGCCUGACGGAGCAACGCCGCGUGAGUGAUGAAAGUCUUCGGAUCGUAAAACUCUGUUAUGAGGGAAGAACAUAUGUGUAAGUAACUGUGCACAUCUUGACGGUACCUAAUCAGAAAGCCACGGCUAACUACGUG
Molecule: ribosomal RNA, 497 nt
Filed under: uncultured bacterium
Lineage: Bacteria
Description: partial 16S ribosomal RNA
Rfam family: Bacterial small subunit ribosomal RNA
Source: RNAcentral